UGCCGCGUGCAGGAAGACGGCCCUAUGGGUUGUAAACUGCUUUUAUACAGGAAGAAACACUCGUACGUGUACGAGCUUGACGGUACUGUAAGAAUAAGGACCGGCUAACUCCGUGCCAGCAGCCGCGGUAAUACGGAGGGUCCGAGCGUUAUCCGGAAUCAUUGGGUUUAAAGGGUCCGCAGGCGGUCAAUUAAGUCAGAGGUGAAAUCCCAUAGCUUAACUAUGGAACUGCCUUUGAUACUGGUUGACUUGAGUCAUAUGGAAGUAGAUAGAAUGUGUAGUGUAGCGGUGAAAUGCAUAGAUAUUACACAGAAUACCGAUUGCGAAGGCAGUCUACUACGUAUGUACUGACGCUGAGGGACGAAAGCGUGGGGAGCGAACAGGAUUAGAUACCCUGGUAGUCCACGCCGUAAACGAUGGAUACUAGUUGUUGGGAUUUAUCUCAGUGACUAAGCGAAAGUGAUAAGUAUCCCACCUGGGGAGUACGGUCGCAAGACUGAAA
This 502-nucleotide ribosomal RNA is filed under the name uncultured Polaribacter sp. RNAcentral's name for it is "bacterial SSU rRNA". It matches the Rfam family "Bacterial small subunit ribosomal RNA", at positions 395 to 899 of the family's 1533-position model. Lineage: Bacteria; Pseudomonadati; Bacteroidota; Flavobacteriia; Flavobacteriales; Flavobacteriaceae. The record is from RNAcentral.